CUCCUGCCCCGCCCGCUGCCAACGGCGAGGGGAAGGGGGGGGGUGAGGGGCGGGGCCGUGGCUGGGUGAGUGACGGCGGUGGGCGCCCAAUGAGAGGAGAGGGUCGUGGAGUCCCCGCCCUCCGCGCUGGGAGGGGUGGGGAAGGGGAGCGGGAUUGACGGUAAGAUGCUCCAAUCAGGAGGAAGGAAACGGGGAUGGGCGGGGCUUCCCGCUCCAACGUCGAGGGGCGGUUGCGGAGCGCGGCCGUUGGGCGGGAGGCGCGGCGGCCGUUAGGUUGUGGUGGUGCUUCUGAGGGGGCCCCGGCCCCGGCCCCGCGGGCGGGGGGGCUCUGUGCCCGGUCCGGCCCGGGGCGGUCCCCGGGGCUUUGGCAGCCUCCGGAGCUGGGCCGUGAGGGGGUGCGGGGCUCGGGAGCCCCCCGGCUGCUCAGAUAGCGCGGGGGAAGGAGGAGGGUGGGGGGCUGUCCUCAGCCGCCCCUCCCGCGUGGUACCGGGCGGUGUUCCUUACGGGGGAGCUGCACACGCCGGGAGCUCCGGCAGCACCUGGCUGCGUUUUGGGAUGCCUCUGGCUUUAGUUUUGCACCCUCCUAGCAUCGCAACGUUUUGGGGCGUCCUUAUGUCACCGGCUGGAUUUGGCUGCCCUGAAUCUGGGUUACCGUGGCGUUUACUCUCUCACACCGAGUCUCAAUCUCGUUCUGCAGGCUGCAAAGCACAAACUGAAGUAAACACGUGAUUAUCUUUCAAGGGGUGAAUUUUUAUGGAGUUUCUAAUUCCUCUGUUGACUUAGGAUGAAAAUACUGAGAAUCGUGUAGGCUGGGGGUAGCAAGUGUUGGUGUCUGAUCCAGAGAGCGCCGGUAAAAUAGAUAAAAAGGGUGGGGGAAAGAAAUAUGAGAUUAUAAUCUUCCUAACCAAAAGAUUAAAUGCUAUGUUUGAGUAAAGUUUUCAUCAGGUGUCUCAGUUACAAAUGAGUUUCAAAAAGUAAACAUGCUGUAUGGUUUAUAUGGUUCAAGCUGAAGUUAGGCUGUAAGAAGCGUGCAUUGUGAUCGCUGCAGCACAUGAAAAACAUGAUGUUUGUGCAUGCGGCACUGGGCUGCCUUAAAGUGACUUUUGCCCAGGCCCAUUUCCAUAUGAAAACAGCCCAGCUUUUGAACUGCCAGCAUGUGGGAUGCCUUGGCUUAUGGUCAUACAGGUACAGGGAGGCUUUAUGCACAUCAGCAUGUUUCUUCCAGUGCCUAGCUUUAGGUGCCAAUUCAGCAAGUAAGCAUUUUUAGCGUUUUAAAGGCUAAAAUCUCUAGCAUUUUAAUGGCUAAAAUCUAAAAUUUUGGUAGGACAUAAAUACUGUAAGGUAAUUGCACUUCAUGUGCUCUCAUGAGCCGAAGUUUAAACUUAGUGUGCAGAAUCCAUAAAUCAAAAGCCAUAUUUGGAUAGUAGCUUUAUAUGAGCAUAAAAAUGGUUGUUUUGUAAACAGAGAUAACUGUAAUAUACUGUUAUCUUUCUUGUAUGUGUGCAGACAUUUUAAUAUAUAUAUAUAAUUUCAUAAAAUCAAUUUUGAAGACCAAAUGGCAUACUUUAGACACUUGCCCUUUAAACUGCUGACUUGUAUCCAUUGCAGUAAAAGAAAUGCUUGCAUUCCUUACCUGGUUAAUUCCCAUUUCACUACACGGCCCAUAGGUCCUACUCAGAGAGCACUAAGGCCCAGACCUCGUGUCAGUGUGUUCCUCUGUUCCUGCCUGCCCUGCAACAGCUGUCAUUUUCUUCUGCACCCAUUUUUAGAAAGUGACAAGGUCCAGUGUGUCCUGUAUACUGUUUAUUGGCAACUCAACCCUUGCUGCCUGUCCCCCGUGUGAAAGUGCCUACCUUCAAGUUUCAUCAAUUAAACAUUUUGAAAAUAGUUAAUGAAAAGCAUUAUGUAGGUUCUGAGUAACAUAAAAAUAUUUUCUGAGAUGUAAAAUAUUUUCUCCGAGGUUACUAGGCUAUGGUAUGGUUGCCAUGCUGCUUAAAACAAUGUUGUAAAAACCUGUUGGCAGUUGAAAUUUGUGACGCAAAGCCCUAAGUAAAUAAUAGGUAUAGCCUUGCAAUGAUGGAAUUUUCAUAUCAGUUGCACUGGAAAAUAUUUUCAGACCGUAUCUUCAUGGACUGCUCAUAAAAGAAGUACUGGUGAAAUCUGUCAGCGGAGCAAAAAAUAAGCUGCUUUAUUAUCGUGAAUAAACGAAAAGUAUUUUUAGCUAUUGAGUUUUCUGUUGUCUUUUUAAUAUAACUCUUCUGGUUUGGAAAAGAAUGAGCAGCAGCUCUGUAAACCAGCUAGAGUUUCCCAAAUCGAAAAGCUAAUGGUUGAACUGGUGUUUGCUUGAGGACGGUGGAAUUGCGUGGACGUGGGAGGCCGUUUGAAGGUAAAGGUGUGCAGACCAGGGUGUCUGGGGGAAAACUGAAAGCGAGAGCUGCGGCUGGCAGUCUGAAAUAGCUGCAUUCGGGAAGGCUGAAGUUUGCCUUCCCCGCUUCUGCACAUGCUGCUGCUUCCUACACAGCUGCCUGAGCUGCUUCUGAGUCAGCUUCUGAACCCCAUGGUUUCUACAGAGUAUUUAAAGGCACACAGCGAUGAUGCCAGGUUAUAAGCUGCCGGCUCCAAAUCUAAUUCAUAAAAGUCUGUGGUGUCCACAGAGAAUGUUGUGAAUAGUAAUUUUCUGCCAGGCUGUUCCCACUCUUCAAUCAGAGCCUUCAAUGUGCACUGAAGCACUGAUUCUGCAAAACCUUAUGUGCGUAUCUAAGUUUACUCGGAAGAAAACUCAUUAUCAUUCAUGAUCGUUAUUCAAAACGGAGAAGCAGCAUUCUAGAACAGAUUUAACUAAAAGUCACAUUUGCAGUUCUUUUCAUUCAGUCACAGAGAUUUAUUCCCUGUACCUUCCUAGCAUUUUUUUUUAAUCCAGGAGUGGAAAGGUGAAUAGGACCAUUAUGUAUCAUUAAGUUUCAGAUCCCUGUCAAACUUGGAAGUGUGGGGCUUCGAGUACUGGGUUGCUGCUGAGAUUUUGCUAUGGGGAUUUGUCUGGUUGCCAGCAGGCAAGGAGUUAACCACAGUUUUGCUUUCCCAUUCUUCUGUACAGGUGCUGAGAGGCCAAGCUACCAGAAACGCAGUUGUCAGAGACAGUGGGAGGAAUAUUUUAGUAAAGAGGAUGUCAUAAGUACGUGAACCCUCAACCAGGAAGUUCUCAGCAGGCUGACAAGAAUUACUGCAUGCUAAGAAUCAGCUGCUCUUGGAAACUUAAUGAAUGUGGCAGCCAGAAAAGUACAAAACAUGGCCAAGAGAUGUGAACCAGAUAUGUUGGCUAUAACAAAGAGAAAUGAAGAGAAGGUGAGAAGGUGCCCUGGAUUCAAUUCAAAGAUGGCUUCAGAAGUUACAACCUGAGAAGGUGGAGAGGGAUGGCACUCUCUAGGCCAGUCUUACUGCCAAAGCCAUCACCUUACCUAACUGUGUUUCUUCAAAAUCCCAUCUUCAUCAUGGACAACACCCAGAUAGUUUACCGGUAAAGUAAACAAAGAGCACAUCUUUAAUAAUCUUCUGGCUCAAACCGCACUACAGCACAGAAGAGCUGUGCUGUACGAGCUGCCUGCGCGCAGCCCCACCAGUCCUUAGCCCGUGAGAAGAACGCCACGAAGCAGCAGCACACCUUGUCAGCCUGUUGAUAGCUUAGCACAGACAGUGAUUCAAGACAUUUGGAAAAAUGUUGCACGUUGCUAGUCAAACUAAUAGAAAUUCAUACUGACGGUUCUUCAAAUGAAACAAAACUGCAUUCUUGCCCUUUCUCUGGAAAAGAUACUUUACAGGGAAUAAAACCUUUUUUGAAGGUUUUCCAUUCACUCUCACCACUUAUUACUUCAGCCUUCUCAUUUCUGGUGUCCUUUUUCAAGCACCGGAGUUUGCCAGCAGGUUAUUGCACACUUUAGGAGACUAUAGUCUGCCUUGAGUCAGAAUUGUUACUGUAAAAUUAACUGCUGUCAUUGACACCUACAGCCUCCUUCGAGAUCAGUUGUACAAGCGCUGUUUCCUUUUCCGUUGUGAGUAACAUAUGUUUUCAGUUCUCAUUUGUAUUACUAAACAAAGGGUUUCAGAUUCUAACUCAAACCAUCUUUCAAAAUUAAAUUAGCUAAAGCCUUAAUUAGCCAGCACUGAUCAGAACAGAUUGCAGUGACUGCACAUGCUACUCCAGUCUAUCUCUUCAUUAAAAAGCUGCCAGCUUUUAAGGGAAAAAAAAGUAAUCAGAGACUAUUUUCCAUCUUAGUAGACCUCGGAAUUGUCUGAGGGGAAGCAGAAUGAUUGUAGUAAUAACCAAGAACCUCUGUAAUCCCUUCCUAGAUUCUUUCUCACUGAUUAACUGUUUUGAAAGUAAGGCAGACCUUAAAGGAAAAAUAAGCUAAACCAUUUGGUAAUGUAUGCCCCCACACAGGGGUAUGUCAGAAAUCUCUUCCACUUUUUUCCUUUGUGGAAAAACUGGUAGCCUGAUUCUUCUCUACUCUGUUUUUUGGAGACCAUAAAACCACGAAAGUCAUCAAAGUUACAUUGACGUAGAAUGUGCUAACGUCAUUAAGGACCAAUUCUUCAAAUGAGCCCAAAGGCCAGAUAUUAUAAUAAAAAAUGUAAAUAUGCAGGAGUGCCAUUUUCUGAAAUCAAAAUUUCUUUUAACUAAUACAUUUCCUUUAAAAUGGUCACUAAAAUUGGUGUCUGGAACGUAAAGCCAUCCAUUUUCUUACACAACAGGUAGGCAGCAGAACUACAAACAGAUCUGGAAGUCUCAAUGCUCUUCUGAGAGGACUGGAUUGAAAAGCAACUCAUGAUCCUGAUCUCUCUGUCCCAGUUAAAAACAUUAAAUGUAUACAGAGAUAGAACUGGACUAAGACUAUGUGUAUAUAUAUAUGGUCUUAAAUAUACAUACAUAUAUCUUAAGAUCUUUUGAAAUAGGUAUACUUCAGACCAGGACACCUCCAUCACAUUGAGUACAUUGGCCUGGGUUAGACGUCCUGCUACCAGUGUCCAUCUCCAUAGCCUUUGCUUGUCUGAUUGCCGCUAGUGUCCUACCACUGUAUUAUGUUACAUGACAAAUUUGUAUUUAAUUUUAUACUGUAUGUUCUAUUCUGGUAUUUCUGUUACGAUUAAAUUGAGUUCAAGACAGUCCCUUGGCUGAACAGAAUGAAAGUGUCUGGAAUGCUCCUUUGUACCACACCAUUUCAGUUGCUCUUCGACAGAGUAUCUAUCUGCCUAAUAAUUGCAGAGUUUGGUGUCUGCUCUCCCAGAUCCUUGCAAUCCUCAACACCAAAAAUCUCUGACAAAGACAGAUGCAUUUGCUGCAUCAUUCUGCAGGGUACCAAAAUGGUCCAUACGGAUACCCUCCGUGAGCAGGAUAUCAAAGUAAAGCGCUGGUUCUCAGCCUUGGCACCAGCUGAUGCCACCCCCUCGCUUCUGUGCCCUGCAGGACUGCACACACUGCCUCCUUGCUCCCCCACUCACCCUCAGCAUCUUUGUGCCCUGCUUUUUCUUGUCUGUGGGGCUGCUCCUACUGCUUCUCCUCCCUUUCUUACCCACACAGUGGCUUGUGUUACCACCACUUCCCCUGGCUGCAGCCAGGAUGACUUCUGGCCCCAGAUGGAAAAUAUAUUUGUAUGAGUCUGCCCUGAACCAUCUCUGCAGAGCUGGCAUGAGUCCUGCCUCUCCCAUCUCUCUUGUAUUACAGGCGUUCAUUAGUUGGGAACCUGUGCAACAAAUUCUAACACCCUGCUGGGAUUUACUCUCCUUGUCCUAAAAUAAUAGCAAUUAAAAAAAAAAAAAAAAAAAAGCUAUUAUCUUUUCGAUAGAAUGCAUCAUGUAUUAACAGGAUGCAUGUAUGCACUGACUUCUCACUACCCCAGUGCUUGUGGAAACUUCUUUUGUUCUGGGCAGCCACUACUAGUGGUACAUCUUCAAGCCUUAAGUACUGCACAGAAAAUAAUGAGGCAGCUUAGAAAUUCAUGAAAUGGGAGAGCAUUACAUAGCUGAUAAAUUAAGGCAAUCAAGGAAAAUCAUAAUUGAGUUUGGGCUUGGAUUACUUUGUAGAAUUAAGACAUUUCAAAUGUGUUUCUCACAAAAUAACUGCAAUGCACCUGAGAUGGUACUUGAUAAAGGAUGUGAAAAAUAAGGCAGAAAAGUAUUAGGUGUUCUUUCAACAUAAGCCUUGAUAAAACAGGAUCUCCACGGAUCCCAAAAUACUUGGUACUGUUACUGAUUUCAACAGUGUGACUUCCAAAAAUAGGCUUUGUUACACAGACCUUCUUGCUUGUCUCUAGCCUAAGAAUGGUUACUCUGAUUUUUGGAAUAUUUUUUUGCCUGUUAAGAAGUUUAAGUGAGAGGAGAGUGUUUGUAAGUGCUGUUGCCGUGUCCUGAGUUUCUUGCAUAGUAUUUUUUUAUUCUGUCCAUGUCAACAGCUGUACUGGGCCAUGUGUCAGGUGUCAUGCUGUGAAAUCUAUGCCUGUUUUUUUUCCAUUGUGCAAACUGAA
Long non-coding RNA from Cygnus olor (mute swan), 6515 nucleotides. RefSeq lists it as uncharacterized. The record is from RefSeq and is a predicted model, not a curated record. The transcript is spliced from 3 exons. NCBI's taxonomy places the organism in Eukaryota, Metazoa, Chordata, Aves, Anseriformes, Anatidae.